CUUACCCCCCAAGUUGCUUCCGGUUUAACGUACCGGUGGGGUUUGCGUGCAUCUGUGACCUCGAGAGCUAUGUCGACGGUAGCAUAAUCACAACUACCAGCAGGGCCACCCUGGUCGAACAGGUCUUAAGCGAGAAGCCAGACGAAGAGGAGCAACAAAAAGCCAACCCAAGGUGUCAAGCGAUCCGUGCCGAUGGGUGCGUGGCGGUGGGUGAGCACCGUCAUUCACGGAGCCUCUGAGAUACCAGGCGACCUUUCAGAGUAAUUAGCCUUACUCCUGUGCAGGGGGCGCCGCAGGAGUGGACUUUUUAUAUCCCCCAUGCUCGUGGGAACGAUAUGGAUAAAUUUACUAAAAACCGAACAAGAAGAUAUAGUAGAGAGGAGGAUAUAUACCAAACUGAAAAUGAUAGAGAUGAAUUAUUUAACUACGAAACUAUUGAUGAUAUGGAGGAAUUUGAACGAAACGAAGGCCGACAAGAUUGGCGAAGGCGUCGGUAUUCUCCAGACAACGAGGACUACCGAGAGAGACUUACCGACAGGAGACAAGGUGACGACUACCGGCCUAAGAGGCUUAGUGGCGCUCAAAGGAGAAAACUCUUUAAGGAAAAACAGAGGGCUGCGGGGUAUUGGGCUAAAGAGGAACCAAGAAGCAAUACAUUUGAUAGACGGGAAAGCAGUCAGAGUUUUAAACGACCUCUAUCAAAUUCCCGAUCACGAUCCCCACCAUCAACCAGGUGCAGGCAUGAAGAACGAGACAAAUAUGAAAGUUAUAAAAGACCACUAUCAGAUUCUCGAUACACAUCACGCUACCCGGACGCAAAGCCAUACAGAAGUGAGUCAGAACGAACAAGAUACAGGACUGAAGAACGACCGAAUAACAAAUCUCAGAGGACAAGGAAUGAGACAGUGUCAAGCAGGUACGGGAAUGACGAACGAAAGCAGUAUGAAAGUUAUGAAAGGCCUCUAUCAGAGUCCCGAUACCCAACAAGCUAUACCGAUGCAAAAAAAUCCAGACAUGAGAGAUCGCCUACUAGGUACGAGAAUGAACGAGAUAAAAAGAGACCAGAUUCUCGACACUCAGCUCGCUACUCCGAUGUAAACCAAUACAGAAGUGGGUCAGAACAAACGAGGUAUGGUAUUGAGGAAGGGGAGAACAGAUUUCAGAGCCCCAGAAAUGAGACAGCAUCAAGCAGGUACGGAAGUCAGGGACGUGAGGAUAAAAAGAGAUCAGAUUCUCGACACUCGGCUCACUACUCCGAUGCGAACCAAUACAGAAGUGAGCCAGAACAAACGAGAUACGGUGUCGAGGAAGACGAGAACAGAUUUCAUAGCCCCAGAAAUGAGACAGCAUCAAGCAGGUACGGAAGUCAGGAACGGGAGAAUGAAUAUGAGAGUUAUACAAGACCUCUGUUAGACUUACCAGACCCGACUGAUACAGAGGUAAACAAAUACAGCAGUAGCCCAAAACCAGUGAGAGACAGGGUUGACGAACAGGAUGAGAGUGAGAAUUUUCAGAGGCCAAGUGAGUCACCGCCAAUGAGGCACGGGAGUGAGGAACGAGGGAAAGUUAGGAGUUACACAGAAGCUCUGUUUAAUUCUCAAUAUUUAUCAAACUACCCCGACGUAGACAAAUACGCAAGCGAUUCAGCACAACUCAGAGACGGGAUUGAGGAACGGGAUGAUAUUGCUAGUUUUCAAAGACCAGAAAGUGAGUACCCAACAACCUACACCGAAGUAAAUAAACCUAGAGGUAAGCGAGCUCGAAUCAUGAGAUAUAAAAUGAAGGCACGGCUGCAGUAUGAAGAAUUUAGGGGCUCUCUAUUAUCAGAUACCCCGUAUCCUUCAUACGCCGGCAGCAAACGGGAAUAUGAUCCACCAUACCGCAAUAGUCGCUACUCUACCAAGUCUAGCGACGAAUCGGGAAAAGCGAAACGCCUAGCUAUUAUAGCAAAACGUCACCCCUAUAUAAAACUAACUCAAGAACAAGCUGAGCAGGUUAAAAAUGCAUUGACAGAGUUAAUGUACUCUGCUACUUUGAGCGGUGGUAGUCUCCCACAGUUCCUGCGAACUAUAUUUAGCGCAGGAUACCUGUGGAUGACUUCUGCAAAUAAUGAUACCGAGGAGUGGCUUAGAAAAAGUAUCGAUACGUUCAAACCACUCUGGGAGGGUGGCGAAAUUAGGAUAGCAAAUCCCGCUGACCUUCCCUUUAGACACAAAAUCAUUGGCUUCGUUCGGGAGCCAGAAGAGGAGACUACCGACUCCAUAAAACUUCGUCUUGAGACGCACAAUCCAGGUCUCAAGACAGGAGACUGGGCUGUAAUAAGCCGUAAAAUAGAGCAGGAAGGACAGCUUCUUGCUUUCUCCAUUGACGCGGGCUCUUUUAAAACAUUGGAGAAAACCAAAUUUAAGGUAUUCUAUAAGCUAGGGCGGGUGAACUUUAGGGUCAUGCGAAGGAGGGGAGAUCCUGAGAGGCCAACCAGAAACCGUGGUAGACUAGGAGAAAUUAUGGGAAAGGAAUACGAGGUCAGGAAUACACAAUAAAUUGUCUAACACUUUUCAGAUUCGUUUAUUAAAAAAAUGCCCUACUACCGAUAACUAUUUGAUUUUUGAUUAAGGUAGUGAAAAAUAAAAAUGUCUAGUAGUAAGGGACCGAGGAAUAUAACAAAUAUAGAAUCGGUCAAUUUGCCUAUCAAUCAUCAAGAAGCAAUACCGGAAGUAUCAAAGAACUGUGAGAUUUGGCAGGUACAAGGGAGGCUAAGUUGAUCAUCGAUUUGUCCAAAUUAACACAUCAUCUGGGGAAUCAGCAACAAGAACAAAAUAGGUGUCGCUCGCACAACUGCUGGCCACGCACGUGCCCACCGUGUGGGCCAUCGACCAGUACCGCAUCUACAAGGAUGUCCUGGAACGUUCCUGGGAGGUGGUGGACGGUGUUAGCGUCAGCCUGCGGCUGUGGGACA
Sitophilus oryzae (rice weevil) is the source of this 2956-nucleotide RNA transcript. It is a transcript of the gene named rho-related BTB domain-containing protein 1, with no coding region annotated. The record is from RefSeq and is a predicted model, not a curated record. Lineage: Eukaryota; Metazoa; Arthropoda; Insecta; Coleoptera; Curculionidae. The transcript is spliced from 2 exons.